GACCCCAGGUCAGGCGGGGUUACCCGCUGAGUUUAAG
RNAcentral lists this ribosomal RNA (37 nucleotides) under Iresine latifolia. RNAcentral's name for it is "26S ribosomal RNA". RNAcentral also lists the same sequence under 1 other name. Lineage: Eukaryota; Viridiplantae; Streptophyta; Magnoliopsida; Caryophyllales; Amaranthaceae. The record is from RNAcentral.